GCCCGGGUGGCUCAGUUGGUUGAGCGUCCGACUUCGGCUCAGGUCAUGAUCUCAUGGUCCGUGGGUUGGAGCCCCGCGUCGGGCU
Felis catus (domestic cat) is the source of this 85-nucleotide non-coding RNA. The record is from Rfam. Lineage: Eukaryota; Metazoa; Chordata; Mammalia; Carnivora; Felidae.